AGAGAGAGACAUGCGCGCAUAUCAAUAAGCGGAGGAAAAGAAACUAACAAGGAUUCCCUUAGUAACGGCGAGUGAAGCGGGAAGAGCUCAAAUUUGAAAUCUUCAAGGUUCUACCUUGACGAAUUGUAGUUUAUAGAAGUGUUUUCUGUUAGUGGAGUGGCAAAAGUUCUUUGGAAUAGGACAUCAUAGAGGGUGAGAAUCCCGUAUUUGGUCAUUCCUCCUAGCGUUGUGAUACACUUUCAACGAGUCGGAUUGUUUGGGAAUGCAGUCCAAAAUGGGUGGUAAAUUUCAUCUAAAGCUAAAUAUUGGCGAGAGACCGAUAGCGAACAAGUACCGUGAGGGAAAGAUGAAAAGAACUUUGAAAAGAGAGUUAAACAGUACGUGAAAUUGUCAAAAGGGAAGCGUUUGACACCAGUGUUGUUUUUCCGAAAAUCAAUUACGAAUGUUUUAUUUUUGAGGAGUUAUGACUUCAUCGACUUGCUCCCUUCUUUACGAAACUUUCUUAAUGCACUUUUCGGUUAACAAGUCAGCAUCAAUUUCUUUUGUUGUAAAAGGGUAUGAGGAAGGUGGCUUUCUUUUCGGAUGAAAGUGUUUAUAGCCUUUGACUUCUGCAGUCGGAGAGAUUGAGGUCUGCAGCGUAGAUCCUUCGGGGUUAGAUACAUUAGAUGCUAAGUUAUAGCUUUUUAUAGACAACUUGUUGACUAUGAUUAAGUCAUGUAGCUUACUCGUUAUGCCUAUUUUACCUACGCUUAGGAUGUUGAUAGUCACAGCGUGUAC
This 777-nucleotide ribosomal RNA is filed under the name uncultured Neocallimastigales. RNAcentral's name for it is "partial large subunit ribosomal RNA". It matches the Rfam family "Eukaryotic large subunit ribosomal RNA", at positions 23 to 644 of the family's 3401-position model. Lineage: Eukaryota; Fungi; Neocallimastigomycota; Neocallimastigomycetes; Neocallimastigales. The record is from RNAcentral.